Molecule: long non-coding RNA, 564 nt
Filed under: Mytilus galloprovincialis (Mediterranean mussel)
Lineage: Eukaryota; Metazoa; Mollusca; Bivalvia; Mytilida; Mytilidae
Source: RNAcentral
GGGAGGUAAUCCCAAUUCCAUUUAAAAAAUACUGUUAUAUACAUGUUUGAUUACCUCCCUUACACUACUUGAAAAUUUUGUAUUAAGAAAUGGUGAUUGUCCUGAGAUGAUUAGCUGUAAUUUUUUUUAAAAAGUUACUAUUGAUUGAUUUGAUUUUAACCAUGACUGUAUGUCAUUUUAUAUUUUAAUAUUUAGAGGGAAAAGAGGGGGGGGGAACAAUUUUUCUCAUUUUAGAUUUCAGAAAAUUAAAAAGAAAAUUUCUCCAAAUAAUUUUUUCAGGGGAUUAAUAUUCAACAGCAUAGUGAAUACUGAGUACUCAAAGGCAAAAAAAAAAUAAGUUCAUUAGACUACAUUCAUUCUGUGUCACAAUAAUGAUAAACCUAUGCUGUGUCAACAAAAUCAUAAUCCAAAUUCAGAGCUGUAUCCAGCUUGAAUGUUGUGUCCAUACUUGCCCCAACUGUUCAGGGUUUGAUCCCUGCGGAGCAUCUGGUUUAAUAUCCUGUGAUACUUUUUUAACCAUAUAUCAACACAAUUUGAUCUGAACUUUCCUGGGGUAUACACCAG